CCUGCCGUUAGGGUGUUGCCCGUGUGGCUCAGUGUCACAUGUGCCUCACCAGGUGGGAGAGAGAAAAGAGGUCGAGAAUACUAUGCUGAGUGUGCCUACCUAUGCACACCUCAAUGAUUGGUCCAACACU
Small nucleolar RNA from Meriones unguiculatus (Mongolian gerbil), 130 nucleotides. NCBI's taxonomy places the organism in Eukaryota, Metazoa, Chordata, Mammalia, Rodentia, Muridae. The record is from Ensembl.